Long non-coding RNA from Tribolium castaneum (red flour beetle), 2135 nucleotides. RefSeq lists it as uncharacterized. NCBI's taxonomy places the organism in Eukaryota, Metazoa, Arthropoda, Insecta, Coleoptera, Tenebrionidae. The transcript is spliced from 4 exons. The record is from RefSeq and is a predicted model, not a curated record.
AUCGUAUUAAACCAAGAAGGAUCACACAAACUUCUCUAAUAAGGGAAUUUCUUGAUGUUUAGGAGAUGAAGACCGUCCUUGGAGAUGAUAACGGUUCUUGGGAUGUAAUUGAAAAUCCCAUGAAGACGAGUUAAAUAUAAUUUGCGAAGCUAGUAUUUUGUGAAAGCAGGGAGUUUAGGACUUGCUAUGGUUCAAGGUUUUCAAAUUCGCCAUGUCCCUCUAUGUCUUAAUCUUUUAUGUUGUUUUACACAAUGUUAUAACGCCUAUGCUUGUUAAAAAAACAAGGUUUGUCCUUUUUGUGAUUGCUUAAUUUAGAAACUAAGCGAAAAAACGUAUUCUACAAGUAUCAUACAAGUUAAUCAAUAUUAAAGCCUACUAUUAUUAUAAAUUUAAAUGAUUACAUGGUAGUUUUAAUCAGUUAACUUCCAGUUAUAGUUAUGUAUAUCAGAUAUGUGGCUUUUUAUUUAAAAUAAUUUCAGCACACUUGUAAUUCUCUUGUGUUUGAGUAAUUUACUAAUAACUAUGAUGCAAUCGAGAUUACUUUUAAAAAAUUUCAAAACUUAUCAAGAACUUUGACAUCAAACUGUUAAAGUACGUGUUAGGGCCGCUUUUACAAACGUCCGUAAACCUUAUAACCGCGAAUAAAUUUCGAAAAAUAGUUGUUUAAAUUUAGCCUUAAGGGACUUAAAAAUUGGACUAUUGUCAAAGGUUACAAGCAAAAUUUUGAUAUUUUUUUGCUUUUCUGAACAGUCUGUAGACAAGUAAUCAAACCAACAAAACUGAUGUAUUUAUACAGACUGAUCCGGAAAUACUGUGUCUGUUAGCAAUCUGAAUUUAAAUUUUAAAGGAUACCAAUAGUGUACACUUUCAGGUAGCAAUUCAAUAAUUUAAUCUGAUGCCAACAUACUCAGUUUCUCUGGAUCAUUGUGUAUAUUUAGACAAUGUAUUUACAUAUAUUAUUACAUCUGAGUAUGUUUAUGAAGAACAAUUCGAGUUAAAUUAAUUUUGCCUAUACAUUCCAGCAUGUUAUUAUUUUUUUAAUAAAUUUUUAUUGGAAAGACUUUGUUUCAUUUUAUUAAGCGAUGUUAAAUGUUUUUGUGCUAUUGCAACUGUUACAGAUGCUUUUUUAUUAAAAUGUCUCGUAACAGCGCAUGAGUACAGAAACAUUUAACAUUUAUAAUUCUUUAAAUUUGGAAAAUAAAUAAAAUGUCCUGUUUGAAUUUCCCGCUAUUAUUGAAUUAGUUCGUUCUCUCAGGGUUAGGUGGCGCUUUCGCGAAAAAACCAGGGGUAGACAGAGAGAUUCGCUUCUUCCUCUCUCUUAUUCUAUGAUUCUAUUCAACAUUAUUCUUCGUGGCUGCAAACGUCGAAUGUGGGUGAAGUGUGUUUUCGUCUGUGUUUAUUUUAUGACUAUGGAAGUGGUUAGUUAUUUCUUUUCUCUUUUUCUGGAUUUUCUUAUAGUUUUUUUAGUCAGUAUUCAAGCAAGUCCAGCCUGGCAGAGAAACAAUCACAUCGUUUUUCCGAACUCGCUAGAAGAGCAUGAAACUUUCAUUGCUCCAAAGUGUAGCGGUAACAAAACAUUUUGUGAGGACGUCGGACAUUACCCCAAAAAUAAAUUUAGCGUAAUAUUAGAAAAUACCACAUACGGGGAAGAUUAUUUCAUGCCGCAAAGCACCGCCGAGGAAGAAUCUAUCAAAAAUCGAUUGUACGGAGUAACUGAAUAUUACAUCUGCAAUUCUCACGUCCAAACGCAAUAUCCCAAAGUGGCGCAAAACGUCAGAAACGAGUGGAAAUAUGUUUACAAUUUUGAUAACUACAAGCAAGGCGUAAGGACAGAAGAAUGUGUAGCUGAAACAGCUUGCAGAUCAUUCCAGGGAACGCCGCGGGAAGUUAGGACGAAGUGUAUGCAAAAGUACAGCGAUAUGUUGCUGUUGGUUGCCGAUGAAUACGGAAAACCUGUGUGGGAUUUAUUCUGGUUUCCUUCCGCCUGUGUCUGUGCAUACGAACCAAUUAUUAAUUUUAACCGAGUUUAGGAGAGUUUGCUGACAACUAAUUUUCCUUAAAUUGCGAUCAAUAGACGUGUCUUUGAAGCUGAAAUGUUAUACCAUUUCCCGGUACAAUAAAACAUUGAUUCUAUA